GCCCUUCCUACGGGAGGCAGCAGGGGGGAAUUUUGGACAAUGGGCGCAAGCCUGAUCCAGCAAUGCCGCGUGCAGGAAGAAGGCCUUCAGGUUGUAAACUGCUUUUGUCAGGGAAGAAAUCUUCUGGGCUAAUACCCCGGGAGUAUGACGGUACCUGAAGAAUAAGCACCGGCUAACUAUGUGCCAGCAGCCGCGGUAAUACGUAGGGUGCGAGCGUUAAUCGGAAUUACUGGGCGUAAAGCGUGCGCAGGCGGCUUUGCAAGACAGAUGUGAAAUCCCCGGGCUCAACCUGGGAACUGCACUUGUGACUGCAAGGCUAGAGUACGGCAGAGGGGGAUGGAAUUCCGCGUGUAGCAGUGAAAUGCGUAGAUAUGCGGAGGAACACCAAUGGCGAAGGCAAUCCCCUGGGCCUGUACUGACGCUCAUGCACGAAAGCGUGGGGAGCAAACAGGAUUAGAUACCCUGGUAGUCCACGCCCUAAACGAUGUCAACUGGUUGUUGGACGGCUUGCUGUUCAGGAACGAAGCUAACGCGUGAAGUUGACCGCCUGUGGAGUACGGCCGCAAGGUUAAACUCAAAGGAAUUGACGGAAGGGC
This 596-nucleotide ribosomal RNA is filed under the name uncultured bacterium. Its description in RNAcentral is "bacterial SSU rRNA". It matches the Rfam family "Bacterial small subunit ribosomal RNA", at positions 332 to 922 of the family's 1533-position model. The record is from RNAcentral.